GAGAGAGAGAGAGAGAGAGAGAGGGAGGGAGGGAGAGAGAGGGAGAGAGAGAGCUCUCCACACCAAGCUGUGUUCAUCAAGGCUCAUUUCUCACCAUAUUCUCUCACCAGGUGCCACCAUAUGAAACUCCCUCUCAGUUUCUAUAUAAAACACUUCUUAUCCGCCUGGGUGCGAGUUGAUCACACUCACUCCACAGUGUGAAUGUCAGCUUCCUGCCACGCUGGGUAGCAGAAGGCAGUUCUGCCAAAACAAGAAGGAUAAAGCCUGGCAGUCAGAAGCACGGUGGCUCACAAGGAUCUUUCUCUGAAUGACAACCUUUCGUUCGUUUGCUUUACGCUUUAUUUCGGGACACAUAAUUGAAAUAAACUGCAAAAAAAACAAAAAAAAACUUGUGACCUCGACUGGCUCGUGGAGAAACUGCAAACGGUGGAGGUAUUUAUGAUAAAAUUACAAAAUCUGUAUUUACUUUACAUCAAAUGAAUGUUUCAAAUGUCAACUUGAAUAGCUUGUAUUUAUUAUGAUUAUGUCAUUGUCAGAUAUGCUUAAGAUCCCCUUCCAGCAACUGAAACUGAGCAAGGACUUUGAGUUAUGUAGGGCAGGAGAACAGGCCCUUGAAGAAGAAAUGUUUGUAAAGGAAUGAUAACUGCUUUUACACAAGAGGCUACAAGAACACAGAAAAAGGUUGCUGCGGUUUUGCUUUGUUAUGCAGCCUGAUAGCCAACCAUCCUUUGCUACAUAUUUAAUCACAUAUACUACAUAUAAGUAAUUCCUAAAAGCACAGAAAGUAUAGAGUACUCGUGUAGUUGCUCAAUGCCAUUUGAGAGUCUCUGUUCAACAGCUUUUGUCACGCCAAGUUUGUGAACAGCGCUGAUAGUCCCCCUGAAGAAGCGUGGUUUUUAAAAGUGCCUAAUAAAGUGCUGGAUCCUUCAAGAACUUUCAUUCCCUGAGGGCGCUAGCUUGCAGUCUGCUCCCUGUUAAGACUCUUCAUUUCAUCACAAUGUUCCCAGCAUCAGGGGAUAUACUGGCUCGGGGGGAAACAUUUCCUUCUACACACAGUUUGUCACCAUGUUGUGACGUACAGUGUGUCACGCCAUCACAGCGGUUUACGACUCACUACAGCGAAACCACGUGGAGUACAGUGGGAACCUAAUCUGGGAUUUACUGAAGCAAAUCACACAAGGAGCCCAAAGAACUACACUGCAGCCACAAACAAGACAGGACUUCAACUGCUGACGACCGGACCAGCAGAUGAGUGGCCAAAAGUACCGUCUGCUGCUCCUGUUACAUCACCACAUUGCACUGUUGUCAGCAAUAAUCUGUGGGAAGACGUGAGAACAUUUUCCUGAAGGACAACAAACACAGCAGAACUCCCCAAAUGAACAGUCCAAAUGCUCAAAACACAGAACCGUGGAAACCUCACAGGAUCAGCAAACAACUGGAUAUCUAACUGAACACACACGAAGGAUGAAAAGGGGAAAGUAACAUUUUUGCUUUCACACACAUCUACUCAGCAACAACGUUUCUGCCUCCUAACAUCAUGUAACAGACGCACUGGUGUUUUCCAGCGUCAGCUCUUCAGUCUGCCGUCAGUGUGGUCGACGCCCUUAAACCACAGACAGGCUUGAAGAACAGACCAGCUCAGCUGCUGCUCUCUGCCUUGUGUUGCUGUAUUGAACCACUAUCUGAUUCACUGACCUUCUCGCUGCCUCAUGCCUUGCUAAUGUGAUGUGCUUCUGCUGCUGUGGCGACCGUUGCUGCUGGCUCAGGACUCUGUGCCGGCUGCUUUCUAUCAAUCUCUUACACUUCCUGUGUUUUUUUUUUUGUUUGUUUUUUUUAACACUCACACAUGUAAGCUAAGACACAG
This is a long non-coding RNA of Cynoglossus semilaevis (tongue sole), 1864 nucleotides long. RefSeq lists it as uncharacterized. NCBI's taxonomy places the organism in Eukaryota, Metazoa, Chordata, Actinopteri, Pleuronectiformes, Cynoglossidae. The record is from RefSeq and is a predicted model, not a curated record. The transcript has 4 exons.